This 445-nucleotide ribosomal RNA is filed under the name uncultured bacterium. RNAcentral describes it as "bacterial SSU rRNA". It matches the Rfam family "Bacterial small subunit ribosomal RNA", at positions 354 to 796 of the family's 1533-position model. The record is from RNAcentral.
GUAAGGAAUAUUGGUCAAUGGACGAAAGUCUGAACCAGCCAUGCCGCGUGGAGGAUGAAGGUCCUCUGGAUUGUAAACUUCUUUUAUAUGGGACGAAAAAAGGCUUUUCUAAGUCGUCUGACGGUACCAUAUGAAUAAGCACCGGCUAACUCCGUGCCAGCAGCCGCGGUAAUACGGAGGGUGCAAGCGUUAUCCGGAUUCACUGGGUUUAAAGGGUGCGUAGGUGGAUUGCCAAGUCCGUGGUGAAAUCUUCGAGCUUAACUCGGAAACUGCCAUGGAUACUGGUGAUCUUGAAUAUCGUGGAGGUUAGCGGAAUAUGUCAUGUAGCGGUGAAAUGCUUAGAUAUGACAUAGAACACCAAUUGCGAAGGCAGCUGGCUACGCGAAUAUUGACACUCAGGCACGAAAGCGUGGGGAUCAAACAGGAUUAGAUACCCCAGUAGUCC